GCCUGGGUGGCUCAGUUGGUUGAGCUUCUGACUUUGGCUCAGGUCAUGAUCUCCCACUCCGUGGGUUCGAGCCCCACAUCAGGCU
RNAcentral lists this transfer RNA (85 nucleotides) under Felis catus (domestic cat). It matches the Rfam family "tRNA". Rfam says of the family: Transfer RNA (tRNA) molecules are approximately 80 nucleotides in length. The record is from Rfam by way of RNAcentral. Lineage: Eukaryota; Metazoa; Chordata; Mammalia; Carnivora; Felidae.